GGCAGCCUAACACAUGCAAGUCGAACGGACUAAGAUAUUAGCUUGCUAGUAUUUUAGUUAGUGGCAGACGGGUGAGUAACACAUGAGAAUCUACCUGAUAGUAAGGAAUAACCACCAGAAAUGGUGGCUAAUACCUUAUAUACCCUGAGGGGGAAAGAUUUAUUGCUAUCAGAUGAGCUUGUGCUAGAUUAGCUAGUUGGUAAGGUAAUGGCUUACCAAGGCGAUGAUCUAUAGCUGGUCUGAGAGGACGGACAGCCACAUUGGAACUGAGAUACGGUCUAGACUCCUACGGGAGGCAGCAGUGGGGAAUAUUGGACAAUGAGCGAAAGCUUGAUCCAGCCAUGUCGCGUGAGUGAAGAAGGCCUUAGGGUUGUAAAACUCUUUCAGCGGGGAAGAUAAUGACGGUACCCGCAGAAGAAGUCCUGGCUAACUCCGUGCCAGCAGCCGCGGUAAUACGGA
RNAcentral lists this ribosomal RNA (459 nucleotides) under uncultured bacterium. RNAcentral's name for it is "bacterial SSU rRNA". It matches the Rfam family "Bacterial small subunit ribosomal RNA", at positions 41 to 529 of the family's 1533-position model. The record is from RNAcentral.